Coregonus clupeaformis (lake whitefish) is the source of this 136-nucleotide small nucleolar RNA. Lineage: Eukaryota; Metazoa; Chordata; Actinopteri; Salmoniformes; Salmonidae. The record is from RefSeq and is a predicted model, not a curated record.
UCAGGCAUCUAUUGAAGACGUCGUUGUUCUUCUGUAGUAGACAAGGUCAAAAGGCAGCCAAAAAUGUUACUUUCACCGACGGUCGCUGUGCAGUUUGACAGGAACUAACUGGGCAACAUUAACGUGAAGGACACCU